Molecule: non-coding RNA, 31 nt
Filed under: Mus musculus (house mouse)
Lineage: Eukaryota; Metazoa; Chordata; Mammalia; Rodentia; Muridae
Source: RNAcentral
AAUAAUAAUAAUAAUAAUAACAGCGUCAGUG